RNAcentral lists this ribosomal RNA (654 nucleotides) under uncultured Lactobacillus sp. RNAcentral's name for it is "bacterial SSU rRNA". It matches the Rfam family "Bacterial small subunit ribosomal RNA", at positions 843 to 1502 of the family's 1533-position model. The record is from RNAcentral. Lineage: Bacteria; Bacillati; Bacillota; Bacilli; Lactobacillales; Lactobacillaceae.
GUGCUGCAGCUAACGCAUUAAGCAUUCCGCUGGGAGUACGGCCGCAAGGCUGAAACUCAAAGGAAUUGACGGGGGCCCGCACAGCGGUGGAGCAUGUGGUUUAAUUCGAGCUACGCGAAGAACCUUACCAGGUCUUGACAUACUAUGCAAAUCUAAGAGAUUAGACGUUCCCUUCGGGGACAUGGAUACAGGUGGUGCAUGGUUGUCGUCAGCUCGUGUCGUGAGAUGUUGGGUUAAGUCCCGCAACGAGCGCAACCCUUACUAUCAGUUGCCAGCAUUAAGUUGGGCACUCUGGUGAGACUGCCGGUGACAAACCGGAGGAAGGUGGGGAUGACGUCAAAUCAUCAUGCCCCUUAUGACCUGGGCUACACACGUGCUACAAUGGAUGGUACAACGAGUUGCGAACUCGCGAGAGUAAGCUAAUCUCUUAAAGCCAUUCUCAGUUCGGAUUGUAGGCUGCAACUCGCCUACAUGAAGUCGGAAUCGCUAGUAAUCGCGGAUCAGCAUGCCGCGGUGAAUACGUUCCCGGGCCUUGUACACACCGCCCGUCACACCAUGAGAGUUUGUAACACCCAAAGUCGGUGGGGUAACCUUUAGGAACCAGCCGCCUAAGGUGGGACAGAUGAUUAGGGUGAAGUCGUAACAAGGUAACCA